This 924-nucleotide long non-coding RNA is filed under the name Homo sapiens (human). RNAcentral describes it as "HSALNT0315057". The record is from RNAcentral. Lineage: Eukaryota; Metazoa; Chordata; Mammalia; Primates; Hominidae.
GAUCUGCCCACCUUGGCCUCCCAAAGUGUUGGGAUUACAAGCGUGAGCCACCGUGCCCGGCCUGUGGGGCUCUAUCUUAAUUCUGCCUUUAAGGACCUAAUAAAUCACUUUACCUCUAGUUCCUGAGCUAUACAAUUAGUGGGCUGUGUUAUCCGAGCUCUGUGUCACUUAUUUAUGGCUGCUAACAAACCACCCCACAUCUUAGUGGCUUAAAGCAACACUGGUUUAUGAUUUCACAAUCCUGUGGGUUGACUGGGCUGUUGUUAGCGGGUCUCAACAGGUGGGACAGCCAGGGCUGGGCUCAUCUGGGACACCUGGGACUCUCUCACCUGGGUCUUUCAUCCUGGGCUUCUUCCUCUCAUGGUGGCCACAGGUGUUCCGAGGGGAUGAGGUUGGACACUACAAGGCCUGUGAAGGUGUAGGCUCUGAGGCUACAUAACUUCACUUCCACUGCAUUCUCUUGGUCAAAGCAGCAGACAAGGCUGCUCGGACACAAAGAGUGGAGAGACGCCUUCGUUGCUCUUGUCCCAUCUGUGUCCAGUUCAUUCCUACGAAGACAGCCACUCUCUAGGAGAGCCCCGACCAGGAAAGAAGUUAGUUUCAGGUGCAUCCGACUGGGGGAGACACAGAGGAGGCCUCUCAACAAAACAGGUAGCGAAUACGCCUUGGCGUCUAGAUGCCCAAUUAGCGGGAAGAAGAUGCAACUCCUGCACAUUCUUUGGUUAAUUAGAUCUGCUAUGAAAUCAUUCAUUUGAUGACCAUCCUAAUGAAUCUAAUAAAAGCCUCUUCUGAAGCCGUCUAUUCUUUGUACCUUAAGUACUGUACCUUGCUCAGCUACGCUGGCACCAGAGCUAACAGACUCAUUAUCUUCCAAAGUCUGAUGUCUGUUUUCAGGCUCCGCUGGUUUCAUUAGAUACAAAAUAA